AUCCCUUUGUUGUGUGACCCCAUAGGUUCAAUUCUAUCUGAUAGUGAUAUUUACNNNNNNNNNNNNNNNNNNNNNNNNNNNNNNNNNNNNNNNNNNNNNNNNNNNNNNNNNNNNNNNNNNNNNNNNNNNNNNNNUGGCAGGUCAUGGAUAAAUCAUCAAACUUCAUCAUCAGUCAUAUGAUAGAUUCGAUUAGCUCAAGUCCAAUUGUGAUACUCAUGAAAACUCUUUUCCAUCAAUCACACUGCUGUAGCCACAGACUCUCGGACUUAGCCUCUCAAAUCCCAUAGAACUACUCUCUAUCAAGAUCGAUAGAUUCCAUCUAGAUGCGCACCCUACUCUUACAGUGGACCGUCGCCAACGUCCACUACAAGGUCUCAAUGAGACUAUGUUUAUGUAUCAGUCAAACUCCAACAGCCUCACUAUGAGCAAUCAUACCAUCGUAGAUCAAAAGAUCAUUCACACAACUACGGCAUCGAGACGAUCACUGACAAUUGAUUAGAAAUUCAGGUGAUCUUUCAUAUGGUCACGCUCAGUACUAGUUGUUCUCUAACAACUAUCCGCACUCGUUACUCAGUGUUUCUACACUGUAAACCAGAGACUCAUCUACCUCGAAAGAAGUAAUCUGUGCGCCGAUCUAUUCGGAUCGAUCACCGUCCUCAUGAUGAUACUAUGACUGAGAGCAUUUAAAAAUUAAUUAUACAUACCUCUAAUUCUCAACACCUUGAAAAUAUAUAUCGAAAUAUUAAUUCCAUGGAUGAUUCAAGGAUACAUACCUCUAAGUCCCAUCUUCUCAAGGUGGACUUUCAUCUUUGGCUGGUUCAAUUACUUUGUCAGUGGGUCUGCCAUGUUAUCCGCGGAGUCUACUCUUCACACCUCGACAUAUUUUUUUUCGAGGUAGUCGUAUAUGAUAUGGAACUGCCGCUCGAUGUGCUUUAAUUUUUGAUGAGACCUCGGCUCCUUAGCAAGUGCUAUGGCUCCAUUAUUGUCGUAAUAAAUUGGUAUGGCAUCUGAUGUCAUUAUCCCAAACUUUGCGACGAACUUCUUGAAUCAAAAGUCUUCUUUUACAGCAUCCGAAGCAACGACAUAUUCAAUUUCUGUGGUCGAAUCCGCUAUGAUGGGUUGCUUGAAAUUCUUCCAGCUGACUGCGCCACCAUUGUAUGCAAACACAUAUCCUGACGUAGAUUUUCUAUCAUCAGGAUCAGAUAUGAAGUCUGAAUCAGUAUACCCCUCGAUUUGCAACUCAGAACUUCCUCCAAAGAUCAAGAACAAAUCCUUAGUUCUUCUCAAGUACUUAAAGAUAUUCUUUACAGCUAUCCAGUGCUCCUCGCCUGAAUUCAACUGAUACCUGCUCGUGACACUCACAGCAAAGGUAAUAUCAGAUUGAAUACACAGUAUGACAUACAUGAGGCUCCCUAUGGUCGAGGCAUAAAAAAUCCUACUCAUACGCUGAACUUCCUCAGAUGUGGUCGGACAUCUUGAAAAGAUGAAUACUAUGCCUAAGAGGUAAGAGUACUGAACCUCUUUAGCACUUUCUCUAUGUACAGCUUUUGUGACAGACCUAGCAUCCUUUUAGAUCUAUCCCUAUAGACCUUUAUUUCAAAAAUAUACGAUGCUUCCCCUAUAUUUUUCAUAGAGAAUUUCUUGGACAACCAUCUUUUGACCAUAGUCAGCAUGAAAAUAUCAUUCUCAAUGAGAAGAAUAUCAGCCACGUACAAUACGAGGAAUGUUAUUGCAUUCCCACUUACCCUUUUGUAUACACAAAGUUUCUCUUCGUUCUUGACGAAAUCAAACGAUUUAAUUGCUUCAUCAAAAUAAAAAUUCCAACUCCAAGAAGCUUGCUUUAAUCCAUAUAUAGAUCUUUGCAGCUUACAGACUCGGUGAUCACCAUCACCAGUUGUGAACCCAAAGGCUGCUCCAUAUAGAUAUCUUCCUCAAGAUAUCCAUUCAGAAAAGCAGUUGUCACAUCCAUCUAUCAGAUUUCAUAAUCAUAAGAAGCUGCAACAGCAAGCAGAGUGCGGAUAGAUUUCAGCAUGACUACGAACGAGAAGAUUUUCUGAUGGUCAACGCCUUCGCGCUGAUUAUAACCUUUUGCCAUGAACCUAGUUUUAUAGGUCUCUACCUUACCAUCGGUAUCUAUUUUUCUUUUAUAGAUUCAUUUACACCCAAUGGGUACUAUACACUUAGGUGGAUCCACUAAGAUCCACACUUGAUUCGAGUGCAUCGAGUUAAUCUCUGACUUCAUUGCAUCUAAUCAUUUCUCAAAAUCGAUGUCAGACAUCGCCUCGUCAAAAGUAUUAGGAUCAUCACCAUGACCCUAUCUCCCAUAAGCAAUAUUUUCUCUACUUUCUCUGCAAGCAUAUCCAUGUACCUUUUAGGAGGUCAGAGAUCCAGUUAGAUCUACAAGAUGGUGGAGGAACAUCAACUACUGGCUCAUGAAUAAUGAGUUUUUGAAGAUCCAUAGCUCUUUGCUCUUCAGAGACUUUCUCUUCAAGCUCAACUAACCUUCCAUUGCCAUCAUCUUGGAUAAACUAUUUUUUUAGGAAUAUGACGUUUCGACUCACAAUCACAUUGUGAUCUUGUAGAAAGUAGUAAUAUCCCAUUGAUUCUUUUGGAUACCUAAUAAAACAAGCUAUUACAGAUCUAUUCUCUAAUUUAUCAACCAUCUGUCUUUUGACAUAGACCGGACAUUCUCAGAUCUUAAGAUAACCUAAACUCGACUUCUUACCAUACCAUAUCUCAUAUGGUGUGGUAAGAACGGAUUUUGAUAGAACCUUAUUCAAUAAAUAAAUUACAAUUAAUAAGGCAUGUCCUCAAAGAUAUAAGGAUAAAUCAGUAAAGCUCAUCAUGAACCUGACCAUAUCUAAUAAGAUUCUAUUCCUCCUUUCGGAUAUCCCGUUGAGCUGUGGUGUUCCAAGAGGAGUCCAUUGAGAGAUUAUGCCGUUGUCCUUAAGAUAUCCCAAAAAUUUCUGACUAAAGUAUUCACCUCCUCAAUUAGAUCGAAGAACCUUAAUAGGUUUGUCUGUUUAUUUUUCUACUUCAUUUCUGAAUUUCUUGAACUUUUCAAAGACUUCAGACUUAUGUUUCAUCAAAUACACAUACCCGUACCGUAACAGAUCAUCGAUAAAGAUGAUGAAGAAGCUAUAACCACCCCUAGUCUGCACAUCAAAUGGCCGACACACAUCAGUGUGUAUCAGGACAAGUAACUCGAUGGCCCUUUCCCUAUGUCCUACAAAGAAUAACCUAGCCAUUUUUCCUCGAAGGCAAAAUUCAUAAGUUGGGUACGACUCUAAAUCAAAAGAGCCAAAGAUUCCAUUCUUUUCCUGUUUGUUAUCCUUUCCUCUCCAAUAUGGCCUAGUCUAUGAUGUCAUAAGUAUUUUAAGUUAAUUUCGUCUCUGGAUCUCUUUUGACCUAUGACACUCACUACUUGCUCGUUUAAAUUCACAUUCGCAUCAAUAUGCAAGUGAUAAAGACUGUCAAUUAAAAGACCACGUGCAAUUAAUUUAUUUCGUAAAUAAAUGAAACAAAAAACUUUAUUGAAAUUAAAAUCAAAACCAUCUUGUACUAGCACAGAUAUGGAAAUCAAAUUCUAACUAGCUACAGGAACAAAAUAACAGUCUUUCAAAUCUAAUCUAAAUUCUGACGGUAACUGAAGAGGAUAAGUAUCAAUGGCUUCUGCAGUAAUUUUUGUUCCAUUAUCGAUCCGAAAGAUUAUGUCACCUUCCCUCAACCUCCUACUUUCUAUUAGAUCUUGCAUUGAAGUACAUAUAUGAGCACUCGAACCAGAGUCCAAUAUCCAACUAGAAGUAGAAAAAAUCGUAAGGUUAGAUUCAAUUAUGAGUAUACUUUCUGAAAGUUUGUCACCUUUUUUGGUCUUCAGGCUCUCCAGCUAGAGUGGACAGUUUCUCCUCCAGUGGCCUUCAGCAUCACAAUGGAAACACUUUUUCUAUCUCAACCUUCUUUGGAACGUCCUUCUUUGGCUUGCUCUCUUUCUUCUGCUUCUUUGCAGAUUUAUUCUUCUUUCAACCAGACUUUCUCUUGGAUGAAGAAGUCCACUCCACAGUGAGAACAGCACCCCUUAAACUCUUCAAAAGUCUCUCAGUAGUGACCAACAUGUUGACCAGUUCGAAUAUGGUACAAUCAAGUUUGUUCAUAUAAAAAUUUAUAAUAAAUUGACUAUAUGAACUCGUAAGGAAUUGAAGAAUCAAAUUCAUCUGUAAUUCUUUUUGCAUAUCAAGCCUGAGCUUCCCAAGCUCCUCAAUCCUCGAUCACUGCCAUACAAUACUCAUGGACUGACUGUCCUUCGCAUAUUUUCAGAUUGAAGUCUCUUGGAUACUUUGAAGCACACUGUGCGGCUCUACUCAUCAUACAACUCUUGUAGGUAAGAAUCAUAGCCCUAGCAGUGGGUAUAUGCUCAUGCUGGCUCUGCAACUCAUUUGACAUGGAAGCCAGCACAUAGCACUUAAUCCGACUGUCUUCAUCCGUUCACCUUUUUAUAUACUGUUCUUUGCUCAGUAGUAGAACGUUUUGGUAACACUAAAGGUUCCUGAUCAAGUACAUGGCCUAAUUUUUCAGAAAUCAAGACAAUCCUGAGGUUUCUAAGCUAGUCUUUAUAAUUAGUUCCGAUCACAUGAAUGGACUAAAGGAUGCGAGCUAGAGGGUUUGAAGCUGACAUGGUUUAACUACGAGAGUAGAGAUUCAAGUUAGACUUUUGUACUUUAAAUUUAUAUUUGCUCUAGAAACUUUAAGAAGCAAACAAGAACUCCCACUAUUUUUUCGGAUCUCUACUCUCCGAGUGGGAAACGAAGAUCCUAACGCGACAACUAGAUUUCUAGUGGAUGUUGCGGUCCCACCGAUGCCAUGCAUCUCACCUAAUAGUUAUUGGUAAUAUGCACACCGAUGCGUGGACAACCCUUUACCCAGAUGCUUCUCUAAGCAUGUUGCAGCCAUUUGGUCUUUAAGUUAUAUGGACUCACCUAACAGUUAUUGACAACAUUCUUUAGUUAAAUCCGACCCACCAUUCACAAGCAGGUGUGAAGCCGUCAUUGGAACGUUUACCUAACAGUUAUUAGGCCCAACUCCAUCCUUAUCCUGGAGUAACUCUUUGCUAAUAGAGUGGUUACGUGUUCCCGAUGCAACUGAACCACUGUGAUUAGCCGAGAACAAUCAACACUAGUACCACGCCCACACAUCUACAACGAUGGAAGACCUAUGGACUUAAUAUUUAUGGGAAGGUUUAGAUUUAGAUCUCAUCUAAUCAGACAUCAUAUGAUCGAUCUAAUUGGCAUGGGCUAAAUUAAACUGCCAAAUAACUUUAUUCAAGUCUCAAUCUUUCAAAUUGGUCAGAUAAGUGGAGAUCGAUGGGGAUCCCCCUAUUGCUUUCUUUAGACACCAAUAAAUUGACCAGAUCAGCGAACGGAAUCAAUUAAAUAACCACCUCUCAUACUUGCCUUAGACAUCAAUAGAUUAAUUGGUUCAAAUAAUUUAGCUUAAGCGAGGAAGGCUCAAGCCAUCGAGCCGAAUUAGGUCCUUAAGUUAAUCGAUUCUACAUAUGGAAUUUAAUCGAUUUGAUCAACAAUUGCAUGAUCUUAAACUUAAUUGACAUAAUCCUAAUCAACACUUGACUCGGUUUGAUCAAUUACUUAAUCAAAUUGGACACAUUAUGUUCAAAUCAAAAACCCUAGAUGCAAUCUAAUUACCUGAUCUAAUUUUUUAUGACCAAAACUCUCAUGCACAAAUACAAGUUUCAGAUUCUAAAACUAAAUUUUAGAUCUAAAUUCUUUGUAUGAAAGAUAAGUUUUAAAUCUUGAAACUAAUUUUCAAAUUUAAUACACAAACAUAUAUCUUAUAUAUGUAUAUAAAAUUCAAAUUUAAAUAAAAAUUCAGAUCAUAACAUGAUAUCAUAUAUCUCAUAUACAAAUCAUGAAAUAUAUUGAAACUAAUUUUCGGACCUAAAUAUGUAAUCAUAAUCUCAUAUAUGAAUCAUAUAUCAGGUCAAAAUAAUUUUCAGAUUUAUGCAUGCAUCUAUAUAUCACAUAUAAAUGAACUAGAAUCCUAUCUGGAACAAAUUUUAAAUCCAUGCAUGCCUUCACAUAUCGAACAUAUGAACUGAAAAUUAAAUCAAAAAUAAAUUCCAGAUUCAAAAUAAUCAUCUAUACAUCUCAUGUAUCAAAAAAAUCAGAUUUUGAAACUCUUUUCAAAAACAUGUCAAUUUCACGUAUAUAAAAUCUGUGGCCCUAAUACCACUGUUGCAAUUUCGUGUCGGGGCAUGCAUGUAUUUUUCAAAAUUUUUCUUUUUUACACAACGCAGCGGAAUAGAAGAUUAAAAUAACUUUUAAUCUAAAUCAUGCAGGCAUAAAAUAUAGAACACAUGGAUCUACUUUAUAUACGGAAAUAUGAAUAUAUACUAAAUUUUAUGCUGAAAUUAAAUAUGUGAUUGAAUCACAUCUAUUUCGCAAUUUCUUUCUUCGAAUCUGCAUCUGGAAGAGAGUAGGCUCUCCCUUAACCGCGCAAGUGUCCGACCUCUGUGGGUAUCCACUCAGGAUCAAUCUAGAACAGUCCUCUUUGAUGUUGAUCUUUUUUCUCCAAAAAAAAUCACCCUGUGAAUAUGAAUAAAAUCUAGAUCGCGAUCAACUCUUUGAUUCUUAAUCUUUUUCUUCUCUUCUUCUCUUGCUCUUCUUCCCUAUGAAACAAUCAAGGUCUAAAAACUUGCAAAAAAAAAGGGAACGCCCAACUCCUUUGAGCAUUGGAUCCAAAGGGGAGAAGAGAGGGAGGCGUGGAGGGAUCUUAUGGGAGGUGUGGGCUGCUAAAAAUCUGAUGUAAAGAGCCUUAGAGAAGGCCCCUUUAAAUAGGCAAAAGGUUUAAAUCCUAUUCAAAACCAAAUAGCCUCUUAAUAUAAAUCCUACUUACAUUAGGAAUCCUUAUAGCCUUUAAAUGUUUGACCCCCUUUAGGAGAUCCAUUAGGCACCAACUAUUGGAGCCUUUGCACCCACUUUUUCACAUGCCACAUAGGGCUUAAGAGACACCUCAUGCUGGUUCUACACGUCCUCUUUUAAGUGGGCACGCCCAAUUUGAUCAAAUCUUUAGGAGAUCCAUUAAGCACCAACUAUUGGAGCCUUUGCACCUACUUUUUCACAUGCCACAUAGGGCUUAAGAGACACCUCAUGCUGGUUCUACACGUCCUCUUUUAAGUGGGCACGCCCAAUUUGAUCAAAUCAAAUGGCAUCCCAUGCAAACAAUCAAGAAAAUUGAUUAAGGAUUUGAACCCUUAAUGCAUAUGAUCCAAAACCCUAGGCAUUUAACAAUUGGAGCCCAAUGAAUCCAAUUCAUUAAGGUUAUUAGUAGGUAAUUAACUCGAAUUAAUCUUAUCAAAUAAAAAAUUCAAGUACAAAGAGAAAAUUAGAUUCAAUCAUAUGCUAACAAGCUUAUCCUGAACCCAAUAGAAUUUUUUAAAAUCCNNNNNNNNNNNNNNNNNNNNGACUCUAUAGGUUCAAUUCUAUCUGAUAGUGAGAUAUACAAUGAUCUCUAUCAUAAUAUCAUUGAAACUCUUUUAAAUGGGUCGGAAUGAUUCCAUUCUAACUCAUCAAAGAUUGUCGAUUCUAAGCAACCCUAGUGAGCUCUCACAAUCCACCAGUAACACCUAGCAGUAUGUAGUGGCAAUCCAAUAGAAUCUCAAGGUAUAGUUCACAUGUGAUUC
This 7693-nucleotide long non-coding RNA is filed under the name Elaeis guineensis (African oil palm). RNAcentral's name for it is "long non-coding RNA (EGUI_LNC038250)". Lineage: Eukaryota; Viridiplantae; Streptophyta; Magnoliopsida; Arecales; Arecaceae. The record is from RNAcentral.